UCCCCGGUAGCUCAGUUGGUAGAGCGGGUGGCUGUUAACCACUUGGUCGCUGGUUCGAGUCCGGCCCGGGGAGCCA
This 76-nucleotide transfer RNA is filed under the name Candidatus Latescibacterota bacterium. Its description in RNAcentral is "tRNA-Asn". It matches the Rfam family "tRNA". Rfam says of the family: Transfer RNA (tRNA) molecules are approximately 80 nucleotides in length. Lineage: Bacteria; Pseudomonadati; Candidatus Latescibacterota. RNAcentral also lists the same sequence under 2 other names. The record is from RNAcentral.